AAAAAAAAAAAAAAAAAAAAAAAAAGCUCUAUAUUAUUUUUUAUUUUUUUAAAUAAAAGUGAUUUUAAAAAUGAAUAGAAUAAAUUAAUGAGAGUUGCUACCUUACAUGUACCCACCAGACCUACCCUUAAAGGAAUUUAAAUAGGGAACCUCUAUGUUACAUUGAAUGUACCAUACACAAUCAAUAAGAACCACAUAAAUUAUAGGACCCACAUAAUUAUGUGAUUUUUAUUAAUUGUGUAUGAUACAUUCAAUGUAACAUAACAAAAUCCAUUUAAAUAUCAGUACUCCCAUAAAGAUGCGGCGCCGAUAAUGGGCCACUGGAUUGUCAAGGUACGGUGUCCGCGAUUUCACGGGACGGACAGCGAAUGUGGACCACGUCCAUGUCCCAACCAUUCCCAGCGGACAUGAAGUGAUAUUACUAUUAAUUAAUUUCAAGAGACCUUCACGUACGAAAUCCGACCAACUCCAUCAGAUUCCUGCCACGUUGCAGUGUUACGUGGAGUUUUCACUGUUUUGCGCUUGCAGGAGAGUUCCCAUCAUAGUGAUUAGUGAAUGCUUCAAUAAACAAAUUUCUGCCACGUUGCAGUGUUACGUUCAAACUUCUCGAUUUGCCGUUUCUGCGUCGGGAGGAAAAAACUUGAAACAUUCAAACUAUCGUUGAUUUUUUGUUAUUUUUAAUUAAUAAUGAAUUGACAUAUAAUUGAUAUAUUUUAGCCGAUAAAUGUAGAAACUCGACUUUAAUUUUUUUAGUAUUAGAACGUCUUUUCAAAUAAAUUUUUGUUAUUUAUUUAAAAAGUCAUAUUAAUAUUAUUUAAGACUUUAAAAGAUAUUUUAAUUAAAAAAUUUUAAAUAAAAAAUAAGUAUUUCUCUUUAAUUUUGUAGGAUAACUUUCUCGCUUUUCAAUUUAUAUUUUAUUAAAAAGACAAGUAUUUUAAUUAUUAUUUAAUUUUUUUUGAAAAAAAUAUUUAUUUAAUUAAAUUAUUUCUUUUUAAAUAAUUUAUUAAAGAAUAAUAUAUAUUUUUUACUCUCUUUUUUAUUAGAUAAAUAAAUAAAUAAAUAUUUAAAUAAUUAAAUUAAUAGAGUUUUUUUUUUAAAUACUCUUUGGCCAUUAGGAGUUGGGUUUAUUUGAUUUAUAUCACCAAGGUGCCAGAGUUUUCUUUUCUUUUCUUUUCUUUUUUAAUGAUUACAAUUUUCAUACUCCCACUAAUUACUUGAGAAAAGAUAUAUUUAAAUUUUGAUGGGAACUCAGAACUGUGCCCCACAAAAUUGAAGACACAAGCUACCACCGAACCAAAAUCGUAGCAGCGAAGAAAUUCAUUGGAACAGAAAGACGAAAAUAUUUGGACGGUCGACAUUGCAUUUAUUAUUAUUAAUAAGCAGGUGGGAGAGAGUGACAUUGACACGAUAAUCAAUAUGGUACACUAAUGCAUUUCAAUCCUGAUAAGAAGAUGCCCUAUAGCUAUAUUGUCUCCUUAGGCAGUAAAUACCACAAGAUAUAAACAUAAUGUUUUUUUUUUCCUUUAAUUACUGAAAUGAAUGAAUGAUUUGUUUUUAUCAUUUAAAUAUUUUUCUUUGAUUUUUACCUGAAAUAGACGGAGGAGGCAAAUAAUUAUUGAAGAAUUGCCUCUACCCAAUUCUGCUCUAUUGAUGACCUAGCUACCUAAAAAACGAGUGUGCCCCAUGUGUAAUCUUAAUUUAUGUCAAAAUUGUCACGUGGCGUUUUAUUUCCAUGCAAUGGCAUUCAAAUUCUGAUGCCGAAAUUUUCGACUGCCCAUUUCCCGUUGCUUCUUUUACAGUCCUACACAAAUUUCUCAUGGAGUUCACUCAUGGUUAGAAAUGUACUUUGACAAUACGGGCUUGAUUCCAGCUCCUUAAAUCACAUCUUCAUCAAUUGAGAUCUCAAUUAUGAGUUCAAAGUAAUGGACCCACCAAAGGAUAAGCGGAUGGUCCAAAAAUUUCAGAUGACAUAUUCAAUCUAGCUAGUAAGUUAAAUUAUAAAUUUGCUCCCGUUGGAAUUAAUUAAAUACAACAAAUUCAAGUUAAAAAUUUAUUUUAAAGUCAGAAACCGUUCUCAUUCAUUAAUAAUUUAUUAGUCUAGUUGCAUAAUUAGUGUUUAGUAACUAGAUGGCAAAAAUCCAAUUGAAUCUAUUAAAUCGAACCUUCAAAUCUAAUUUCAAAUUCGAUCGGAUUUAGUCAAACUAAAACUAUAUAUAUGUCAUUCAAUCUUUACGAUUUGACUACUUUCUCUUAAAACUUUAAAUUCUCAAGACAUGUAAAGAGAAAUACUAAUUUUAAACUUAUAAAAGCAGUGAAGCAAGGUUGUAAAAUUCUUCAUUCGGUCAGUCACAAAUUUUGCUUCCACCGAUAUGAUUUUUUGGCUACACCACUGUGAGUUUGACCAUGAAUUAAUUAAUGCUCCAUUUUGUUUUAGGUUUUUGACGGUUAAUAUCACAAAGCCAAGCUAUCAAAAUUCUGACGAACACCUGCAGUUUGACUUUGACAAUAUAAAUAGUUUAUUCUCCGCAACUAUUUAUUAUAUAAACAAUAAUUUCUGAAAAUAUAAAUAAGGGCAAUGAUAUUUUGGAAAAAAAAAGAAGAAAUAUAUUCUGAUAAAAACAACGUUAAACACAGUAAAUCGGUAAUAAUUAAACAUUAUUUUUAUCAACUCUUUAUCUCUUUAACAUUUUCAAUAGUUUUCACUUGAGAACUAGUGAUGUUUACCGACUACCCAUCGCAUUUUCCUCGACAUCUAAUACUUCCAUUCCACGUGCCACGAUCCCACAACAGUACUGUAAUAGCAAAUGCCAAAUGGAGCCAAAAUCUUGGUCCCAUCGGCUAGUCUCUCUAUUCGGUCCUCAAAUUCCUACUUUUGCAUGUGCAUGCGCUUGAAUAUUUAAUGAGUAAUGUAAUGUAGGCAUAUUUUUUUGCAAUCGGUGUAGUCUACGUAAACCCGUCAACAUCCCAUCACAUGAUCACUGGAAUAUGUGCAUCAUAUUUUUAGAUUUUUUUUUUCCUUUUGCCGCUUAUUAUUUUUCCUUUUUCCUGAGAAAUAAUAAAUAAGAAUUACAGGGUCAUGCAAACGUAUGUCGAAUUCCUUUUUCAUUAAUCAAUAAUAGCUUCCAACUUCGACGAUGCGAGGAUCAACUUGUAGUCCAGUAAAACUAUCGAAACUCAAACGCACAUCGAGGGCGUAGUACGAAAGAACAAACCAUCGGAUCAUUAAUUAAAUUUUCUCAACUAACAACCAACCCCGAACUCACUUUCUCCUUCCCUCUUUCUUGUUCGCGUUGUUCAAAAAUUCUAUAUAAACCCUAACCCUGCCCGCAGUUUCACUCACUCAAGCUUGUAAACAGAACCUGAUAACUAGCUAUAACCAAGCAAAAGCCUCCCUGAAGAAUCCUCAUGGCUGCUCUUAAGCUUGUUUGUGCUUUGCUUUUGUGCAUUCUGGUGACUGCCCCAAUGACUAAUGCCAUAACAUGCGGGCAGGUGACAGGCUCCUUAGCUGCAUGCAUCCCUUACUUGAGAACUGGAGGGCGUGCUCCGCCACCGCCAUGCUGUAACGGCGUCAGGUCUCUCAACAGCGCCGCCAGAACCACCCGUGACCGCCAAGCUGCAUGCAACUGCUUGAAACAAGCUUACGGAACAAUCCGCGGCAUCAACCCUAAUGUUGCCGCUGGCCUUCCUCGUCAAUGUGGAGUCAACAUUCCUUACAAGAUCAGCCCCGCCACUGACUGCUCUAGGUAUGUUAAUCAAUUACUCCACCCUCUUUAAUUCUUUUUGUUUUUAUUUAUUUUUUCAAUUUUCUGAUUGUUAAUUAUGUAAUUCUUAAUUAGAAUUUUGUUUUUCAUGUUUCUGUGAUGCAGGGUCAGGUGAAGUUGAGUUUGAGCUCUGUGACUUUCCAAGUAUGAUUGACUGAGAAGAAUAAAUAAAUAAAGAAUAUCUAUGUUAAUUUCUUUGUCCGAACGAGUCUCCACUUGUGUGAGUCUCACUCUCAUGUCAUGUUUGUAUCUUUGCUUUUAAUAUCAUAUUAAAUAUGUAAACGUGAUCUGUGUUUUGAGUGAUUAAUUCUAGUUAUUUUGUGGUAUUAUCUUAAAAAUUCUCCCUUAUUUUAUGUCCCUCUCUAUCAUUUUGAAUCAUGAGAGAAUCUCAAACCAUUGUUUGUUAUGUUCUAAAGUCAUGGAGACAGUGCCACCAAUUCCUCAUCAUACUACAAAGACAAUUCCAAUUCCAAAUCUAAUUAUUACAAAGACAGUUCCCAAUCCUCUAAUUCAAGCUAACACAAUAUCUAUAUAGACAAGAAAUAGAAAUUGACAAAAGGGUUCUAACAGUUUUUAAUCCUAAGUAUUGACCGAGAAAUAAAUAAAUAAAUAAAUAAAUAUGUUAAUUUCUUUGUCCGAAUGAAUCUCUACUUGUGCGAGUCUCACUCUCAUGUCAUGCUGUAUCUUUGCUUUUUAUGUCAUAUUAAAUAUGUAAUCGUGAUCUGUGUUUUGAGUAAUGAAUUAUAAUUAUUUUGUGGUAUUAUAUUAUAAAUUCUCUCUUAUUUUAUGUUGACGACAUCUCUAUAUCAUUUUACAUCAUCAGAGAAUCUCGAUUCAAUAAGCAUUAUGUUCUAAAGUCAUGGAGAGUGUACCGUAAUUCCUAAUCAUACUGCAAAAACAAUUCCUAUUCCAAAUCUAAUUAUUAUAAAGAAAAUUCCUAAUUACCAGCAAGCGCGUACAUCAGCUGUUAUGAGACUGUUCUAACUUAACCAAAAUCAUCGAUUCAAGGUUUAAGAAUGCAGCUGCGUUAAAUACUUGUUGGGAGAGCUUUGCCGCCCUAGUAGUCCUACCCGACUUGAAUCUAGAUUAGUUGAGACCUAAUGUGAUUUUCGGAUACCAGAUGAUUUAAUAUACAAAAAAAAAAAGACAAUUCCCAAUCCUCUAAUUCAAGCUAACACAAUAUCUAAUUCCUAUAUAUAUAUAGACAAAAAAUAGGAAUUAACAAAAUGGUUCUAACAGUUUUUAAUCCUACAGUAUUGAUCGGUAAAAUGUACUUUUAUCAAAAUACUAAUUAGCUGAAGAAUUGUUGUUAGUCGAGGUUAGAUUAUCUCAUUGACAAAUGUAAUAUUACACAAUUAAUAAUAAAAAAAGUGAAAAUAAAAACCUUCAAAGUAGUUUGAGACACUAUAAUUAAUUCAUAACAAACCAAUUGGUAUAGGUGCGUGUGAUUGCAUUCGCCGGUAGGGUGGAGCCGUGGAGGGCCCUUAGGAUGGACUUUGAUCUCUAUUUUGUAAUGGGGAAAAUCGAAAAAAAAAAAAAUCAUGAAGUUGCAAUCUAAAAUUAUACUCAAGCCCCCCAAUAAUUUUCAUUUACUCCCCAGUAAAUCACACUCAAGUCCCAAUUCCAAUUGCUUAUGGUUAUAUAAUUAUAAUUAAAAGAAGCGAGCCCUUAAAUAUUAAAGUAGAUUUUGAUUUUUUUAAAUGAUCCACAAAUCUGUGAUACAACAGAGCAUCGCUUUAACAAUAGCUUUUAGCUAAUUAAUUUUUCAUUUUUUUCAUUUUCGACAGUUUCGACUUUCGAGCCUGUCGGCAGGAUUGUGAUUAAGGCCCAGCCCGGCCUUCGAACAAAAAGUACAGAGCCCGGCCCGGAGCUUGGACAUCAAAAUAAAAAAUUUAGUAUUUUCUUUGUGGUACAUACUUUAGUUAGUUACUAUAUACACCGGCCCAAAAAUUUGAUUAUUCCUUUAAACCUAGCCCAACUGCUCAUUCAUUGUGAAAUUAUAUGCACUUGUACUAUUAGGAGCCCAUUAACAAAAUUAUUUGUUACUAGUUGGUACCUUAAGUUAAUUUCUAUAAAUUAUUUAUUUCUAAUUUUUCUCCUUAAGUGUCAUAAUUUCUAUCUAGAAAAGCUUAAAUCAGUAACACUAAGACAUGUUAUAAAGUGACCAAAAAAAAACAUUAAUUUUAAUAGCAUAGACAUGCGGCCCUGGGCCUGCCCGCGAGCCCAAUCGCUGGGUGUGCAAAAGGAACGCCCGACCCGAACUUGUACUAUCCCUAAAUUAAAUCACAAGCGACAAACUACUACAUUUUCUAUUUUCUUUUGCUUGUAUUUUGUUCACGACCCGAUCUUGUACUAUCCCUAAAUUAAAUCACAAGUGACAAACUACUACAUUUUCGAUUCUCUUUUUACUUGUAUUUAGUUCACUAAUAUUUGCCACUCGGCCAAAUAAGUGAGGGCAGCUGUUUGACCCCAUAAACACAUUAUUGGAGAUUUAUUCCUUCCUCUGUUAUUAAUAAUUGAGUGGAGUGAAUAUUUUUUAAAUAUUAGUGAUGAUAAAAUUAUAGACGGUGUUUUAUAAGAAUUGAUAUAAAUUAAUUUCAAUAAUAAUUUAAUUUAUAAAUAUCAAUUGUAGUCUCAUAUAAUAUGAGUUGUAAUAUUGAAAAAUAAUCUCAUAUAAUAAAAAAUAUUUACUAAUAUUUAGUUUUACAUAUAUGUAAUUAUGUAUAUACAGAUUUAAUGUGUGAAAAUUUAUUUGAUUGUACCGAUGCAAUUAAUAAUAUUUCAUUUCAUUUCAAUAUAGUAACCUACACAAAUACUGGGAUGGUUGAGAUUAGAAGGCAAUUUUUCGGAGAAAUGUUUAAUUUAAAUGUGUAUAUUUAAUGUUUUUCAAGCAAUUUAUUUUAUUUUAAUAAAAGGGGGCAAUCAAAAAGCCAUCCAUAUCAAUGUUCUUCGGCCUCAGCCUCGGCCAGUUAGGCACCAAAUGUUGACAGAGUCCCAUUCUGUUCCCAUGCUCAGGCACAGCGAAUUAUUACAAUUAAUUUGACGAGACUUUUACGUACGAGAUCUGACAACUCCAUCAGACUGCUGCCAAGUGUCCACAUGCUUGCACCUGUUAAAAUCUCUCAUCUCCGUCGGUGGCUGCCUCGGAUUCUGUGCUUCUUCUCUCCAAACUUCAGAGACGUGCUUAUUCAAGGCAAAUGCUAUGUUACAAUUAAUGUAACAUACACACUCAACAACAACCACAUAAAUUAUGUGGGUUUAUCAUUUGUGUGGUUGUUGUUGAGUGUGUAUGUUACAUUAAUUGUAACAUAGGGACUCCCGCUUAUUCAAAACAUUGAACCGAAAGUUAAUUAAAGUUACAGCAUGUGCGGUAAGAAAUGAACAUGGUUGUUGUUUUUUUAUUAUUAAAUAAAUAAUUUGUGAGAGAUCCAUUUUUUUGGGGUUAAUAUAUAAUUGUUAAAAAUAAAACAUACAAUUAAAUAAAAAUAAAGGUGCCACAAAACUACGGGCCAUGGAAAUUGCAAUAAAGAAAAUAAUUAAUUUUCCUCUCUCUCCCCUUUUUUUGCCUGAGAGGAAGAGGCAAUUCUUAUUUCUUAAUAUUCUUUUCUGAUUUUUUUCCAACGUAGGAGCAGCAAAAAUUACAAAUUAAUUUUUUAAUUUCUAUCGAAUUAACACAACUAUGCUAUGAUAUUAUAAAGACACGUGUAUGCCCCUCGUAAAAUUUUGUUCAAGUCAUAAAUUUGUGAGGUAGCACAUUUAUGAUCCGGCAAUUACAUGCAGUCUGCCGAAAACUUAGCUGUGCAUGUUCCGUCCCAUCCUUCUACAGUUUCUCCUCGCAAUUUUAAAAGCAAGUCUGCACACGGAAUUAACUCUUGGUUAAAAAUUCAAAAGGAACAUGUAUAGUUACUGUACUAACAAUAAAAUUUUAACAAAUUUCAAUUUUAAUUUUUGAGCUAUUUUCUAGAAUAAAUUCAGCUCGCGAAUUAUUUUACAUGAUAUUCGAGUUAAACUCACUAUUCUUUUUACCUAGCAAGAACCAGACUAAAGAAAUAUUCAACAUUAGUUGAGAUAAAUUAUCAAGCUAAAAAUAUAAAUUUGAAACUCUCAGCUAAUUAGUUUAAUUAUGAGUUGAGCUCAUGAGUAUCUACUAAAAUGGCGCUCUCAAAUUAAGCCGAAGAGUUGGAUCAUUUAAUUUUCAUCUAUGUCCUUAUCCAUUACCUAAUCUUUACUCGAUAGUGAGACUCGUGUGGAAUGUUCUAUAUGAAAAUAUGCAAUAAAUAAUCAUAUCAUAUAUUCGAAGUUUAUUUUUCGUUCUUACCUUUGUGAUGGUUAAUUAUUUCUAAAAGAAUGUGUGUGUGUGUGCGCGUGCGUGUGUGAAGAGAUAUUAUUGACUGAAUAUAAAUUUAUCUGUCUCCUUCGAAAAUAUUUCUAACUUUGCAUGCUGCCCCGUGAUUUGAUUGAAUAUUCAUGAAGGACAAAAAAAUUAUCUUAUGUUAAUAUUGUAAUUUCAGUUCUUGAAGGAAGAUAAACUUGUUCAUAAUAUUGCAAACAAAAGACAUUCUUUGCUUUCGCUAUAGUGUAUACGUAAACCAGUCGGCUCCGACUCCCCCCAUCACAUGAUUUUUGGACUAUAUGUUUAUGAAAUCAAACCUGGAUACUAUAUGAAUUUUCAUCUGCCUUCUUUUUAACAUGCAUUUUCUUAGAAAAGAAUAACACAAAUUGUAGGCACAUUCAUGCGUAUCUAAUUCCCAUUUUAAUUAAUGGCUUUCAACGUCCAGGAUGUGACGAUCAAAAAGUCCAAAAAUGUCGUUGAAAAUCGCACCGGUCGAAAAGGAAAGAGAAAGGCAUCAAAUGCAAUAUUGAAUUAUUUCAACAACCAACUAACCAGUACAGUAGUCUCUCUUUAAAGCUUCUAUAUAAACACUAGCCCUUAACACACUUUCACUCACUCAACUCAAGCUUCUGAACACAGCUAGCCAUAAACAAAGGCAAAAAAAAAAAAAAGAAAAAGAAAAUCUCAGGAGAAAUCUCAAAUGGCUGCCCUCAAGCUUGUUUCAGCUUUGGUUCUGUGCAUGUUGGUGACUGGUCCCCUGAGUGCUCAGGCCAUAACAUGUGGGCAGGUGAGUGGCUCAUUGGCACCAUGCAUCGGUUUCUUGAGAUCGGGCGGCCCUAUACCUAUGCCAUGCUGCAACGGCGUCAGGUCUCUCAACGCUGCCGCCAGAACCACACCUGACCGCCAAACUGCAUGCAACUGCUUGAAGCAAGCCGCCAGAUCAAUCCCUAGCCUCAACCUUAAUAAUGCUGCUGGUCUUCCAGGAGCUUGUGGAGUCAGCAUUCCUUACAAGAUCAGCACCUCCACUGACUGCUCUAAGU
RNAcentral lists this long non-coding RNA (9134 nucleotides) under Citrus maxima (pomelo). RNAcentral describes it as "long non-coding RNA (CMAX_LNC002813)". The record is from RNAcentral. Lineage: Eukaryota; Viridiplantae; Streptophyta; Magnoliopsida; Sapindales; Rutaceae.